AGUGAACGCUGGCGGUAGGCCUAACACAUGCAAGUCGAACGGCAGCACAGUAAGAGCUUGCUCUUACGGGUGGCGAGUGGCGGACGGGUGAGGAAUACAUCGGAAUCUACUUUUUCGUGGGGGAUAACGUAGGGAAACUUACGCUAAUACCGCAUACGACCUACGGGUGAAAGCAGGGGAUCUUCGGCCCUUGCGCGAUUGAAUGAGCCGAUGUCGGAUUAGCUAGUUGGCGGGGUAAAGGCCCACCAAGGCGACGAUCCGUAGCUGGUCUGAGAGGAUGAUCAGCCGCACUGGAGCUGAGACACGGUCCAGACUCCUACGGGAGGCAGCAGUGUGGAAUAUUGGACAAUGGGCGCAAGCCUGAUCCAGCCAUACCGCGUGGGUGAAGAAGGCCUUCGGGUUGUGAAGCCCUUUUGUUGGGAAAGAAAAGCAGCAGGUUAAUACCCCGCUGUUCUGACGGUACCCAAAGAAUAAGCACCGGCUAACUUCGUG
Molecule: ribosomal RNA, 492 nt
Filed under: uncultured bacterium
Lineage: Bacteria
Description: partial 16S ribosomal RNA
Rfam family: Bacterial small subunit ribosomal RNA
Source: RNAcentral